Molecule: ribosomal RNA, 469 nt
Filed under: uncultured bacterium
Lineage: Bacteria
Description: bacterial SSU rRNA
Rfam family: Bacterial small subunit ribosomal RNA
Source: RNAcentral
AGAGUUUGAUCCUGGCUCAGAACGAACGCUGGCGGCAGGCUUAACACAUGCAAGUCGAACGCCCCGCAAGGGGAGUGGCAGACGGGUGAGUAACGCGUGGGAAUCUACCUAGUUCUACGGAACAACAGAGGGAAACUUCUGCUAAUACCGUAUACGCCCCAAGGGGGAAAGAUUUAUCGGAAUUAGAUGAGCCCGCGUAAGAUUAGCUAGUUGGUGGGGUAAUGGCCUACCAAGGCGACGAUCUUUAGCUGGUCUGAGAGGAUGAUCAGCCACACUGGGACUGAGACACGGCCCAGACUCCUACGGGAGGCAGCAGUGGGGAAUAUUGGACAAUGGGCGCAAGCCUGAUCCAGCCAUGCCGCGUGAGUGAUGAAGGCCUUAGGGUUGUAAAGCUCUUUCAGUGGGGACGAUAACGACGGUACCCACAGAAGAAGCCCCGGCUAACUUCGUGCCAGCAGCCGCGGUAAUA